This 252-nucleotide ribosomal RNA is filed under the name uncultured bacterium. Its description in RNAcentral is "partial 16S ribosomal RNA". It matches the Rfam family "Bacterial small subunit ribosomal RNA", at positions 524 to 772 of the family's 1533-position model. The record is from RNAcentral.
GACGAACCGUGCGAACGUUAUUCGGAAUCACUGGGCUUAAAAGCGCGUGUAGGCGGGACGGCACGUCGGUCGCUGAAAGCCCCCGGCUCAACCGGGGAACGGGCGCCGAUACGACCGGCCUGGAGGGACGUAGGGGGACCUGGAACUUCCGGUGGAGCGGUGAAAUGCGUUGAGAUCGGAAGGAACGCCCGUGGCGAAAGCGAGGUCCUGGACGUUUUCUGACGCUGAGACGCGAAAAGCUAGGGGAGGCGA